This 253-nucleotide ribosomal RNA is filed under the name uncultured bacterium. RNAcentral's name for it is "partial 16S ribosomal RNA". It matches the Rfam family "Bacterial small subunit ribosomal RNA", at positions 524 to 776 of the family's 1533-position model. The record is from RNAcentral.
UACGGGGGGGGCAAGCGUUGUUCGGAAUUACUGGGCGUAAAGGGCGCGUAGGCGGUUUGUUAAGUUGGAUGUGAAAACUGUGGGCUCAACCUGCAGCCUGCAUCCAAUACUGACAGGCUAGAGUUCUGGAGGGGAUAGCGGAAUUCCUGGUGUAGCGGUGAAAUGCGUAGAUAUCAGGAGGAACACCGGUGGCGAAGGCGGCUAUCUGGACAGAGUCUGACGCUGAGGCGCGAAAGCUAGGGGAGCAAACAGG